GACGAACGCUGGCGGCGUGCUUAACACAUGCAAGUCGAACGAAGAGCGAUGGAAGCUUGCUUCUAUCAAUCUUAGUGGCGAACGGGUGAGUAACGCGUAAUCAACCUGCCCUUCAGAGGGGGACAACAGUUGGAAACGACUGCUAAUACCGCAUACGAUCUAAACUCGGCAUCGAGGAUAGAUGAAAGGUGGCCUCUACAUGUAAGCUAUCACUGAAGGAGGGGAUUGCGUCUGAUUAGCUAGUUGGAGGGGUAACGGCCCACCAAGGCGAUGAUCAGUAGCCGGUCUGAGAGGAUGAACGGCCACAUUGGGACUGAGACACGGCCCAGACUCCUACGGGAGGCAGCAGUGGGGAAUCUUCCGCAAUAGACGAAAGUCUGACGGAGCAACGCCGCGUGGGUGAUGACGGCCUUCGGGUUGUAAAGCUCUGUUAAUCGGGACGAAAGGCCUUCUUGCGAAUAGUGAGAAGGAUUGACGGUACCGGAAUAGAAAGCCACGGCUAACUACGUG
Molecule: ribosomal RNA, 510 nt
Filed under: uncultured bacterium
Lineage: Bacteria
Description: partial 16S ribosomal RNA
Rfam family: Bacterial small subunit ribosomal RNA
Source: RNAcentral